GGGGGGGGGGGGGGGGGGGGGGGGCGGGGGGGGGGCGGGCGGGAGGGCCGGGGUUUUGUGGGGGGCUCGAGGGGCGAGCGGGGGAGGAACAAGUGGGUCACCCGCCCGUGCCUUAGGGGUACCUUCCGGGAGCUGGGGGUAAGACCGGAGAGGAGCUCCUGCUUCAUGGGGGGGUUUGGAAAGUUUGGGCGGGUGGGGAUGGACUCGCGGGUAGUCACCUCGUGGGUGGGUUGGUGUCUUACCAAGGCAUUGACGGGUAGCCGGCCUGACGGGGUGACCGGCCCCAUUGGGACUGAGAUACGGCCCAGACUCCUCCGGGAGGCAGCAGGGGGGAAUAUUGCACAAUGGGCGGAAGCCUGAUGCAGCAACGCCGCGUGCGGGAUGACGGCCUUCGGGUUGUAAACCGCUUUCGCCUGUGACGAAGCGUGAGUGACGGUAAUGGGUAAAGAAGCACCGGCUAACUACGUG
RNAcentral lists this ribosomal RNA (468 nucleotides) under uncultured bacterium. RNAcentral describes it as "partial 16S ribosomal RNA". It matches the Rfam family "Bacterial small subunit ribosomal RNA", at positions 38 to 507 of the family's 1533-position model. The record is from RNAcentral.